RNAcentral lists this non-coding RNA (173 nucleotides) under Drosophila melanogaster (fruit fly). The record is from RNAcentral. Lineage: Eukaryota; Metazoa; Arthropoda; Insecta; Diptera; Drosophilidae.
CCUUUCCUCUCAACAAGCAAACGUGCACUGAAUUUAAGCGUAUACUUCGGUAAGCUUCGGCUUACGACGGGACCACCUUAUGUUAUUUCAUCAUGGUCUAAACUGAUAGCUGAACUAACUGAAUGUGCGAAAUACACAUGAAUCACAAUCGCGCGUUUCGUUUGACGUCUGGA